RNAcentral lists this ribosomal RNA (738 nucleotides) under uncultured Porphyromonas sp. RNAcentral describes it as "bacterial SSU rRNA". It matches the Rfam family "Bacterial small subunit ribosomal RNA", at positions 93 to 829 of the family's 1533-position model. The record is from RNAcentral. Lineage: Bacteria; Pseudomonadati; Bacteroidota; Bacteroidia; Bacteroidales; Porphyromonadaceae.
GACCGGCGCACGGGUGCGUAACGCGUAUGCAACUUGCCUCACGGAGGGGGAUAACCCGUCGAAAGACGGACUAAUACCGCGUACACUCCAUCUUGGGCAUCCAAGCUAGAGGAAAUGAAUUUCGCUGUGAGAUAGGCAUGCGUCCCAUUAGCUAGUUGGUGAGGUAACGGCUCACCAAGGCAACGAUGGGUAGGGGAACUGAGAGGUUGAACCCCCACACUGGUACUGAGACACGGACCAGACUCCUACGGGAGGCAGCAGUGAGGAAUAUUGGUCAAUGGGCGAGAGCCUGAACCAGCCAAGUCGCGUGAAGGAUGACUGUCUUAUGGAUUGUAAACUUCUUUUAUACGGGAAUAACAAGAGCCACGUGUGGCUCCCUGCAUGUACCGUAUGAAUAAGCAUCGGCUAACUCCGUGCCAGCAGCCGCGGUAAUACGGAGGAUGCGAGCGUUAUCCGGAUUUAUUGGGUUUAAAGGGUGCGUAGGCGGCCUGUUAAGUCAGCGGUGAAAUCUAGGAGCUUAACUCCUAAAUUGCCAUUGAUACUGGCGGGCUUGAGUGUAGAUGAGGUAGGCGGAAUGCGUGGUGUAGCGGUGGAAUGCAUAGAUAUCACGCAGAACUCCGAUUGCGAAGGCAGCUUACUAAGGUACAACUGACGCUGAAGCACGAAAGCGUGGGUAUCAAACAGGAUUAGAUACCCUGGUAGUCCACGCAGUAAACGAUGAUAACUGGGCGUAUGCGA